CGGGAUGUGGCUCAGCUUGGUAGAGCGCUGCGUUCGGGACGCAGAGGUCGGGAGUUCAAAUCUCCCCAUCCCGACCA
This 77-nucleotide transfer RNA is filed under the name Armatimonadetes bacterium OLB18. RNAcentral's name for it is "tRNA-Pro". It matches the Rfam family "tRNA". From Rfam's summary of the family: Transfer RNA (tRNA) molecules are approximately 80 nucleotides in length. Their secondary structure includes four short double-helical elements and three loops (D, anti-codon, and T loops). RNAcentral also lists the same sequence under 4 other names. Lineage: Bacteria; Bacillati; Armatimonadota. The record is from RNAcentral.